CAGGCAGCAGGAGAUGGGUGGCCCUAGGAAUACAGAGACUCAGAUACAGUAAUUAGCCUCAAGGAACUCAAAUGCUAGUGGGGAGAAGGACAAGUAUAUAGAUGUAUGUGAAUCUGUGAUAAGUGCUAGAAUGCAGCCAUACCUAAGCCAGGAUAAAGGAGGAGUUGUGGGUCAGAUAAAAGCUUUGGGAGAAGAUGUGUCAGGCAAAUCUUAAAGGAGCAGAGAGACAUAGUCUGCUGAGGAAGAUAAAGUAGGUAUUCCAGGAAUUUGGAUUCAGGCUUUUUGCUACUUUGUGGCUGCUCAGAACUUGGAUAUGGGCCAAAGAACAAUUAUGAGGAAGGUUUUCUUGUUUUUUUUUUGGGAGAAGGUGGUCUCAUCCUGGAGGGAGCCACUUAAGAUAAUAGGAAUAUAUUUAGGUGUGACCUAUGCUAUUAAUUUAUAUUCUUGGGACUCUUUUCCUUGUUUGUAUAAAAAACUGAUUUUUUUUUGUUUAGUUCAUAAAAGACAGAACAAUUUUCAUAUGAUAUCAUUUGAUGUUAUUGUGGCAGUGAGGUAAAGUUGUGUUCAAAGAAUGACAAGGGGAUUUAUUUGAUGAAACAAUUGGAAAUAUAUAUUUUUUUGUCUUUUUGCCUUUUCUAGAGCCACACCCAUGGCAUAUGAGGUCCCCAGGCUAGGGGUCCUAUUGGAGCAGUAGCUGCUUGCCUAUGCCAAAGCCACAGCAAUGCGGGAUCCAAGCCGAGGCUGUGACCUCCAUCACAGCUCACAGCAACACUGAAUCCCUAACCCACUGAGCGAGGCCAGGGAUCAAACCCGCAACCUUAUGGUUCCUAGUCAGUUUCAUUAACCACUGAGCCAUUAUGGGAACUCCGAAACAAUUGGAAGUAUUAAUGACUAUUAUGCAUCAUUUAAUCCUUGUCUAAAUGAAACUGGGAUUAAAUCAUAGAUAAAAACUGGAUUCCCACACAAUUUCUACUUGAUUUUUCAAUCACAGGCAGUGGGAGGAAAUCCAAAACUUGGGUUAAAAUGCAAAAUACUCUAGAUUUUUUUGGAUGUAAUAUCUUUAUGGGCCAAAAAGAUCUCAAACAAUUUAUGGAAGAAGCAUGUUAUCAGGCAGUUGCCAGAGAGCUAUGCAUAAAACUAACUUUUAGAAGAUUUGUCCCUAACCUUUUACGUCAAAAAAAUGCUAAGAAUUACUUUUUUGGGUGACAGGAUCAGAAUUUGUUUUGACUAAAGCUAGUGUAAAUUUUAAUAUCCAAACAAGAUCAUGUACAAUAUCAAGUCUUUCUCUCCAUUAUUAGUGAGGAUUUAUAAAACAGCUUUGUCAAAAGCUUGGACAGAUUCUUUCUAUCAGACCAUAACAUAAAAUGCCAUUAAAUGUUAAAAACAUGCCAGUUGAGGGUUUAUCUUUGCAACAGAACCAGCAGUAAAGUGACAAAAAUGUGCCACUUCCAUUCCCUAUAAUCUGUGGAGUUAACAGCAGAUUAACGGUAGGAAAGAAAUUCCGUAUCUUUAUAUGCAAAUUGUUCACUCAAACUUGAUGUCCUUCAUGGCUUUUGUGUAUCUGUGUCUGCAUAUUUACUAAUUAUAAGUCUAGGGAUAUAAUGAGUCAGUUGGAGAAGGCUCUUGAACGCAAUCUGGACAAAGAACUCCAGACUUCAGAGGGCUUAUUAGCUUCAGAGGGAAAUUUGGACUGAAACUUUAAAGUGACAACUAAGAAAUAGUAGCUUGGGUCAAAACCUCUAAGAAAUAUAGACCAGCUGUAUGUAGACUUUUGUGUUCUUCUGUAAAUUGAAUGCGCUUGUCUGCAUUACCUCACCUUAAGUCUAGUUUAUAGGGCUAUGGCUGAGGUAACAAAUGAAUGUGGUCUCUAAAAUGUUGGGAAAACCCAGGGCAAGGAAGGGUAUAGUAAUUCCUGUGGAAGGGGGAACUGUACUUUAAUACAGGGCUGUGGCUUCCUGGUGUCACCUUUGUGUGACUUUUUAAAAGAUAUCCCCUCUGGGCAGGGCAGAUCUUCGGAGAGCAGAGUGCAAGCUGCAUUUCAGCCCUUUUGCAUCUCCUCAACCAGGCACCACUUGAGUGGUCUGCGUUUUAACAGAGGCCCAUGAAGAGAGGCCUCCAUAGUAGCUGUGGAAAGCACUUGCUCUAGACUCUCAAGUUCUUAAUAUAAGGCACGUCUGCCUUUUCCUCUAUUUUAUCUUGUGUCUAGUACAAAGCCCAGCUCAAUAAAUAUUUGAUCUAUAACUGCAAUUGAUUAGCUCACAAAUAGGUGAGCCUAUAGGUUAAAAGAAUUGUUACUUGACUCUAUCUUCCCAAUAUAUUUAAGUAAUGGGGAUGCUUCAGUUGUGAUAAAGCAAUUGAAAUUUCUCUUUAAGUCUAGACCUACUAUUUUACUGAUUGGCCAUUAUGGUAAAAUGUCCCUCAUUGACAUGUGUGACUUGCUAGCCAACUGCUUCCUUUUUCAGAAGAGGCUAUAUUAAGUACUUCAGUCUGUUCUUAAUCAUUGUACAGCUAAAUCACUACAGAGGCAAAUGAAUAUUCAUCAAAAUUUCAAAGAGACAACAAACUGAAGAAACCGGAGGGUAAAUGAGAAACAGAGAGGCAAAGAGGAGAAGGAAUAUCGGCAGAAAUAGUGAAUUGGAGGUAACUGGCUCAAUAAUGACUCUUUGCUUCUCAUGGUCUUUUCCUUUCUGUCCCCAGGAGAAUAUCUUUUCUGAGCAGGCAUAAAGCUUUCUCUUAUUUUCAGCAAAGAUGUUCUCUGCUAGCUCAGUACCUGGGUCAUCAGAACAGACACUUGUUUGAUAAAACAGGGCUCUUCUGUUUGGAUAGAUUACAUUAACUAUAAACAUAUGCUACUUUUGAAGAAUUUCCUAAAUAUAGCCUAAAUCAUCUUUCUUUUGAACAUUUUUUACUUUGCAUUCAAACUGGAUUCAGGUUUCAUGCCAAAAUAUAUCUUGUAAUUACUUUAUUACCAGAAACUAGAGGAAGCAUUCUUACUUUAGAACCAUGUAUCCAUAGUAGCUGUGGAAAGCACUUGCAAUGUUUUGACUCCAUGGGUGAGUCAAAUGAGCAAGAAAUUUCAUGCCUAGUUUCCUUCUCCUUCACCACUGAAUCAGAAACUAUUCAUUUUGUCAUUGAGACAGAAGUGAAAUACUAGAAAGGUUUUCAGUUUCUUUGGUAAUCCACAUGUUUUUAAGAAAUUUCUAACCACUGACUUCUGAAUUUGGUCCUUCUGACAGUUAUAAGUCCAUAUGGCAACCGGACAGGAGUUUGAAUUUGGUAAAUUUCAUCAUGUGAAAUACUUUUUCAUGAGGCUCUGAAUUGGAAUCUUUACAAUUUACAUGAUGGUGGUGGGGGCAAGGGGAUGUGAGACAAAGAAGGCCAAGAAAGCUUUCAAAGCUGCUUUAAACUAUGGAAAAACUUCAUGAAAAGGGCAUAUAUUCAGCUUAACCUUAGAACAGAUAGUAUGUACUGCAGAGAAGAGGUAUGUAGAGAGCUGGUUAAUUUUUCUUAGCCAAAUAUUUUCUCAUUAUUGGAUGUGACCUCAAUAACAGAAGAGUUACAAAUUAAUGACUUAGUCUAUCAUUACUUUCAUUUCUUGGUGUGGGGCUAUAGAGAGGUGAUGCUGAGAGCUUGAGUGAAAGAAAUUGUGCCCAGAAACACUUGAGGGGGUAAGUGGCACAUAGCCUGGGAACCAUAUUUACUAAACCAGUGAAGGAAGGCUUAAUUCCCAUUUGGAUAAUAAGCAAUUUCUCUUCACAGUAGAGGGAAUUCCAGCAAACUGUAUUCAGGCAAAGAAAUAAAAAACACUUGGGGUGAGGCUGUUAAGUCUUUAGCUCUAACAUUUGAGAUUUAAUAAAUAACAACUCUUGCCUAUUUCCUAUAGGAAAGUACCAUGCUAACUAGCUUACAUCAGCAUGGAUGCUUGUCCUCAUUAGCUUUAGGGUUGUCAAGAUUGUGACUUAAAAAAUUUCACCCUUCACCCUGAUGUGAAAGUCUGUGUACUCAUAGUUACAGAGAGCAAAGGAAAGCAUUUAUUUUCAAAAAACUUUAAGUGAUUGGAAUAUUGGAUUCAGUAUUUUUCUUUUGAACUUUGUCUUUUCUUCUGAAUGUCUAACUAGAUACAGAAAAUAAAGAAUAAGAGAAGUCUGAAUGAACUUUACCUGAGACGAAAGUGGUAAAGUUAAGUAUUAGUUUAGAAAAAGAGAGUUAGAAACUGAAAAAAAAAAAAUUAAGGGAAAGAACAAAGACAACUGGAUUUUAAACAUGUAUUUUAUUAUUUUUAAUUAAAUCAAUCACAAAAAAUCAACUUUGCUCUCAAACCUUAAAAAUCCACCUACAUUUAGAAAAAAUUGGUUUAAAAAUAUGUGUAACUAUUAUUUUCCUUUACUGUCAGGACUCUCAGAGGAUGCUUAAUAAUAAAUAUCAGAAAAUAAGUAUCAUUAAAAUAUUUCUGAGAUUUUGCCUUAGCUUUGUGUGUACAGUAUAAAGACAUUAGCCCAGAGAACUCUACCCAAUAUUCUGUGAUAAAGUAUAUGGGAAAGAAUGUGAAAGAGAAUGGAUGUGUGAAUGUAUAACUAAAUCACUUUAUUGUACAGCAGAAAUUAUCACAACUUUGUAAAUCAACUGUACUUCAGUACAACUUAAAAAAAAAGAAAAAAAUAUUAGUGGAGUUCCCAUUUGGCUUAGUGGGUUAAAGAUCCAGCUUCGUCACUGCAGUUCCUGGGGUCGCUGCUAUAAUGCGGGUUUGAUGCCUGGCCUGGGAACUUUUGCAUGUAAUGGGUGUGGCCAAAAAAAGAGAUAUUAUUAGCAAAAUUUUUUUCUGCUUUUGAUGCUUUCUCCAUUUAGGAAAAAUUUGUUAAUUAUGUCCUCUACAAGAUACAAAUCAGUAAUUAUGUUUGGAGAAGUUUUUUCCUGGAAGCAAGAAGCAUGACUAAAUACCCCUAAGAUCAUAAACAUAAAUUCUUGACAAUAAUAUAAUAGAAUAUACAAAUCCAGGAUGCUAGGAGCAGGAUAGGAAGAGGAAUAUAUGUGGGAACAUGCCAGGGUGCUAAGCUGUAUAUAAGACUAAUAAAACAAUAGCAAAUAUGAUUUGGUAGUGCAUGCUCCAAUAACUGCAGGGCUGAAAAGCAGUUUGAAACAUUGCCUAAUGAUGAAAAAUUUCAUUAAGAGGUGAGCUUUGUUGAUUACAAAUUAAAUGUUAUACCAUUCUGCAAACUUAGCUGGG
Molecule: long non-coding RNA, 5224 nt
Filed under: Sus scrofa (pig)
Lineage: Eukaryota; Metazoa; Chordata; Mammalia; Artiodactyla; Suidae
Description: lncRNA (ENSSSCG00000060317.1)
Source: RNAcentral